This 423-nucleotide long non-coding RNA is filed under the name Oryza brachyantha (malo sina). RNAcentral describes it as "long non-coding RNA (OBRA_LNC001180)". Lineage: Eukaryota; Viridiplantae; Streptophyta; Magnoliopsida; Poales; Poaceae. The record is from RNAcentral.
UCUCGGGAAUUUACCUGGCUUCCAGAAGAAAGAAGCAAGCAUCAUCUGGAUGAGCUAUAUGUGAGCAUGCAACUCCCUACCCUCCUCUAAGAAAUUUCAUGAGUUUACAGGAGACUCGCUUGCUGUAAAUUCGUACGUGUGCCUUCCUGCGAGUAGCACUAGAAGCUGUGUCACAUUUACACUUGACGUAGUUGUAAAAUGUGAUAAAAAGAUUUAUUUGUACCGAAUAAAUGUUCCAUUGUUUCUUUCUUCUGUUAGUUAGCACUAGAUAGUCACUCAGACAACAAUAGUCAGUUCACCCAAAGAAAGCUCAAAUAAAUGUUCCAUUGUUUCUUUCUUCUGUUAGUUAGCACUAGAUAGUCACUCAGACAACAAUAGUCAGUUCAUCCAAAGAAAGCUCAAGCAAAUAUUUUGUUCUAUAAG